Molecule: ribosomal RNA, 479 nt
Filed under: uncultured bacterium
Lineage: Bacteria
Description: bacterial SSU rRNA
Rfam family: Bacterial small subunit ribosomal RNA
Source: RNAcentral
GAACGCUGGCGGCAUGCCUAACACAUGCAAGUCGAACGAAGCGGUGUGGAUUGAGACUUCGGUUGAUUGAAACAUUGACUUAGUGGCGGACGGGUGAGUAACGCGUGAGUAAUCUGCCUUAGAGUGGGGGAUAACGCUCCGAAAGGAACGCUAAUACCGCAUAAGAUUGUAGUACCGCAUGGUACAGCAAUUAAAGGAGCAAUCCGCUAUGAGAUGGACCCGCGUCGCAUUAGCUAGUUGGUGAGGUAACGGCUCACCAAGGCGACGAUGCGUAGCCGACCUGAGAGGUUGAACGGCCACAUUGGGACUGAGAUACGGCCCAGACUCCUACGGGAGGCAGCAGUCGGGAAUAUUGCGCAAUGGAGGAAACUCUGACGCAGUGACGCCGCGUAUAGGAAGAAGGUUUUCAGAUUGUAAACUAUUGUCGUUAGGGAAGAUACAAGACAGUACCUAAGGAGGAAGCCCCGGCUAACUAUGUG